Molecule: long non-coding RNA, 249 nt
Organism: Polypterus senegalus (gray bichir)
Lineage: Eukaryota; Metazoa; Chordata; Cladistia; Polypteriformes; Polypteridae
Exons: 3
Source: RefSeq, a predicted model, not a curated record
UGUGUACAGAUCCAGAAACUUCAGCGUCUGAAUCAAGCACCAUGUUUGCCAGCAUUGCAACCCGUCUCAUGGCCGCCUUGGCGCUGAUCGCAACAAUCGCUGCUGCGGAGCCUGAUAAUUCCAACCACGCGGAUUUUAUUGACUGGUUUGAUUAAAUUCAGAUGAAUGGGGAAGCCAGAGAAGUCUUCAGUGAAGCUGACCAACUCUGUCCAUUAUGAUUAACUAAAAUAAAGAAUGAAAGCAUGCAAA